This is a long non-coding RNA of Canis lupus familiaris (dog), 821 nucleotides long. RefSeq lists it as uncharacterized. NCBI's taxonomy places the organism in Eukaryota, Metazoa, Chordata, Mammalia, Carnivora, Canidae. The transcript has 3 exons. The record is from RefSeq and is a predicted model, not a curated record.
AGAUACAUUCUGCUCCUUAGCCCAGGAAAUGCUGAAGCCACUUUCCUGGGGUCACCACUGGAAUCCUCAGUGAUCCCUUGCCAGUUGGGCUUACUCUUGCUCUCAGGGUCCAUCCUCCAGACACCUAGAGACCACCCCUAGGAAUUCACAUUUCUGGAGAGAGUUCCCAUUCUUGUUUUCAAGGAAGGCUUCACAUGCGCUAAUAUAGCCUGAUGCACAUGGAGUUGGCUGUACUCAAGAGAGCAAGGUCUCUUGACUAUGUCUUUGCGCUCUCACUAGUUUGCAAGGUCUGUGAAGGCUGCAGGCACUUUUUCAUCUUUGUGUGUGUGGCUCCCAUCACAGCACCUACAACAUGGAAGACUCUCCCAACUUGCCUGUUAAAUGUUGAUAAUCAUCAAAUUUCAUUACGGACUGUUCAAGAGGCCAGGAAAUCACUAAACCCCAUGGGCUGGCAGCUUCUGAAGCCACCGCCAAGACUUCCACUGGGAUAUGCUUACCCAUCUGUGGGCUGCUAUGCUGGCACUGCCCAGUAACAGAUGUGGAGAGCCUGGAAGACCCGAAGCGGGGCGCCCCCACCCAUCAGGGGACCCAUGAGGAGGGGCACCCGGGUGGCUCAGUGGUUGGCCAUAUGCCUUCAGCUCAGGUUGCCAUCCCAGAGUCCUGGGAUUGAGUCCCACAUCGGGCUCCCUGCGAGGAGCCUGCUUCUCCAUCUGCCUAUGUCUGCCUUUCUCUCUGUGUCUCUCAUGAAUAAAUAAAAUUUAAAAAAAAAGGAAACCCACAAGUAACCCAAGGCACCCCCAGACCAUCCAGACCCACUGAGG